Pygocentrus nattereri (red-bellied piranha) is the source of this 1785-nucleotide long non-coding RNA. RefSeq lists it as uncharacterized. NCBI's taxonomy places the organism in Eukaryota, Metazoa, Chordata, Actinopteri, Characiformes, Serrasalmidae. The record is from RefSeq and is a predicted model, not a curated record. The transcript is spliced from 2 exons.
GAAAGAAGCCAGAUAGCUGAUGCAACUGCUAGAAAGCUGAAUACCAUGAGUUUCUUUAUCUCACUGGGAUUGGGGGAUUCCUAAUGUGUCAUUCCAGACUGGUAGCUUGGGUCAUGCUACAUUGCAACCGUGAAGCUGUCUAGACUGGCCACUGGAGUUACACUACACUGCAGCCAUGAAGCGGUCUAGACUGGCCACUGGAGUUUUACUACACUGUAGCCAUGAAGUGGUCUAGACUGGCCACUGGAGUUACACUACACUGCAGCCAUGAAGCGGUCUAGACUGGCCACUGGAGUUAUACUACACUGUAGCCAUGAAGUGGUCUAGACUGGCCACUGGAGUUACACUACACUGCAGCCAUGAAGCGGUCUAGACUGGCCACUGGAGUUAUACUACACUGUAGCCAUGAAGCGGUCUAGACUGGCCACUGAAGUUACACUACACUGUAGCCAUGAAGCGGUCUAGACUGGCCACUGGAUUUACUGCCCGAGCUGGCCGCUGGCGGUGUAGUGCACCAGAGCGAUGAAUGAAGCUGCCCUACACUGAAGCUUCGAGGCCUCUUGGGCAAAGAGGGAUGCUUCCCAGCAGCUAAGGACUCUUUCUGUCUUCCCAAACUGGCUACUUGAGCCACACUACAUCGCAGCCACGAGGCUGCCUGGGCUGGCCACUUGUGUGAUGCUACACUGUAGCUAUGAGGCCUCACAGCCUGGCUCUUCAAUUGCUAAGGACAAGCUAAGGGACUUCAUACUGUGGUCUGGAAAGGUUUCUGGGAAACUGGUGUAGGUUCUGGUGCAUGGUGUGGGUUGUUUUAUUAUUGAUUGUCUAUUUUGUUACUAUUGUAAAAUGCUUUUGGGUUUGAAAAACAUGCUAUGUAACCUAAAUCUACAUUUCAAAUUGUACUUCAAAUGUAUGUCAUUUGGUAGCAAUGAGCUUCAAUUACUUUGAAUCAAGUCAGAUACAUUCUUCGAUUAAAAUAAAGCAUACAAAAUAACACUUCACAUAAACCAAAGCAAUAGCUCUCCAUAAAAUUCAAGUCUACUUCCAGCAUUUUCAAUUUUUGCAGUCUAUCAUAAAACACAAGCUGUUACUGAGGUAAGGUGUAAGGUGAAGUAAUUGCUCUUAAAAACACUGCAAUUGCUGCCAUUUGGACACCAUUUUUUUAGAUUUGGUAUUUAACUGGAAUUGGCUGUAAUGUUCUCUCACAUGCAAGACAGUUACCGAAUAAUUUUAUGUCUAGUCUUCAUGCUUGGCAUUAUAGCCAGAGGAUGCAGACACCCACAGAGUGGGUCAUUUUCUCAGCAUUGGCGUUAAUUAAAAGGUUGAACAUGUUUGUCCGAAAGUUUGUGCCCACAGAAAUCUCAUGUCCUCAUAAACAUUUUAAUUUUAGAUUAUAUUUGGGCGAUUACAGACGAUUAAAGCUUCUCUAAUUAUAGCGAAUACUUAAUUACCUCAGACUGGCAACGUUCUUAAUUUGAAACGUAUGGCAUCGUCGUGACCACCAGUUGGUAUGAAUGUUAUAUGCUUUCACACAAAGCCACAACAAACAAUAAGCUUUCUGACUGCUAUAUUAGUGUUUCCAUUCUAAAACAGGUACAUAUCAUUUAUGGCUUUAUAUACUGUAUAUGAGACACACACACACACACACACACACACACACACCCAUACAUGACAUGCUUACAUUGUGGUAUGCAUUACAUAUGGCCAUGUUUGCAUGUGUAUAUGACGUAUGUAUAUCACAUGUCUUGCUGAUUUUCUAAGUGAAAGAUUAAAAUAUUUUAACUAUGA